This 299-nucleotide unclassified non-coding RNA is filed under the name uncultured fungus. RNAcentral's name for it is "partial contains 5.8S rRNA and ITS2". The stretch from base 1 to 52 matches the Rfam family "5.8S ribosomal RNA", at positions 103 to 154 of the family's 154-position model. The record is from RNAcentral. Lineage: Eukaryota; Fungi.
AACGCACCUUGCGCUCCUUGGUAUUCCGAGGAGCAUGCCUGUUUGAGAGUCAUUAAAUUCUCAACUCUCCAGCGGUUGUCAUGACCGCCGGUUGAGCUUGGAUGUGAGGGUCUGCCGGCUCCUUGUCGAGUCUGGCUCCCUUGAAAAUUAUUAGCGCAGCUUUGCACUGUCCGCUGCAGGUGUGAUAAUCUAUCUACGCCUGGUUAGCGACGCGCAUGAAUGGCUUUGUGCUUCUAAUCGUCUUCGGACAAUUUUUUGAACUUGACCUCAAAUCAGGUAGGACUACCCGCUGAACUUAA